AUGGAUUGGCUCCUGACCACCGGCUUGUCGGCCACCGCCGGCGCGUGGGGCGCCCACGCAGGCCUCGGCGACGAAGUGGACAGGCUGCGUUCCGUGCUGUCCCGCGUGCAGGCGCUCGUCGAGCAAGCGGAGCAGUGGCGGUUCGCCAACCCCGGUGUCGCCGAUCUCCUCGCGCGGCUCAAGGACGCCGCCUGCGACGCCGAGGACCUCGCGGACGAGCUCGCCACGGACGAGAAGCAGGCGAGCCAGAGCCUCUUCCCAUCCGCGCGCAGUUUCCUGCGCGGAUUGGUCACCGGCGCGGCGGAUAGAGCCAGAGGCGUCAGGUCUCGGCUCGAGUACGCGUCCACCGACCUGGAGCGGGCCCUCGCCGUGCUGGACGCGGCCGGCAAGGCGACGCCGCGGCGCGCGUUCCGGGAGACGAGCUCGUUCGCCGGGAGGCCCCUGGUUCUCGGCAGAGACCGGGAGCGCGAGGAUGUGGUCCGUCUGCUUCUGAAUCCGCUCCAUGCCCACGAUUCCGGCGAUGGCGGCGGCAGCGCGAAGCGACGGAAGAGCCGUGACGGCGUGGCCGUGCUGGCGAUCCUUGGCAUGGGCGGCGUAGGGAAGACCACUCUGGCGCAGGUUGUGUACAACGACCAUAGGGUGCAGGACCACUUCGACCUGCGGGUGUGGGUUUGCCUGCCGGAAUCGCCGGACGUGACGCUGGUGACCAAAGCGAUCAUAGAGUCGGCGACCAACGGGGCGGUGGCGCAAACUGGCCUUGGCAAUUUGGACUCACUUCAGGUGGUUCUCAGGGAUUUGGUCAGGUCCAAUAGGUUCCUUCUUGUCCUUGACAAUGCCUGGUGUGAGGACAGUGUGGAGUUUCAGACGCUCAUCGCGCCACUGAAGUUUGGGCAUCCUGGAAGUGCCAUCUUGGUGACCGGUCGCUCUUGCAAGGUUGCUGAUGCCGCCGGAGCGGCGGAACUGUUAUGUCUGAAUGGGUUACCGGAGGAGGCUUACUGGGAGCUGUUCAAGCAGUAUGCAUUCGGCGAUGAGGACCCUGCAGACCAUCCUGAAUUGGUGGCCAUUGGCAAGAAGAUUGCCCAUAGGCUCAAGGGCUCCCCUCUUGCUGCCAAGACUGUCGGUGGGGCACUGAGCUCUGACAUGAGCACAAAGCAUUGGAGCAUAGUCAUGGCAAGUGGGUUGUGGGAGCUUGAUCAAGGUGCAGGAGGCAUUCUCCCGGCUCUUCGACUGAGUUACCAGUACCUCCCUGCAUACCUCAAGCAAUGCUUUGCAUUCUGUGCGAUAUUUCCAAAGGGGUAUAUCUUCGGGAAGGAGACUCUGAUUGACAUGUGGAUUGCAGAAGGCUUCAUCUCUCCUCAAGGCGACUUUGGGAACAAAUGCUUGAAAGAAUUGCUCAACAAGUCCUUUUUUCAGCAACACAUAUUCAGUGACUCAUGUUUCGUCAUGCAUGACCUGAUGUCUGAUCUCGCACAGUCACUCUCUAUAGAUGAAUGUUUUUGUCUGACUGAUGAAAGAUGCCUUCCGAAAAUCCCUUCCACUGUUCGCCAUCUGUCAGUGUGCACCAAACAUCUUGAACUGGGUAGAUACCCAAAGCUGCGGUCACUUUUGAUUCUCGGUAUGUCUGGGCAAGAUUUGAGUUGCUCACUUGAUAUUUUGUUUGAUAAACUGAGUAAUAUCCGCGUGCUGGUGCUACGGGAGUGUGCGAUCAAAGAGCUCCCUAGGAAUAUUGGCAAUCUAAAACUUCUCCGGUAUAUCGAUAUCUCUUACACAAAGAUCCAAUGGUUGCCUGACUCCAUCUGCCAGCUAAGCAAUUUGCAAAUUCUGAAUGUACUGAACGUCCCUCUGAAGAACCAUCCCAACGGUUUGACUAGAUUAGUCAAUCUGAGGAAAUGUUACAUGAAUGAACCGAUUACUUCGGUGAUGAGCAAUAUAAGCGCUUUGACAUCACUCGAGAACUCGUUGGUAUUUGAAAUUCCGAAAGGACAAGGGCACAGAAUCGCCGAACUGAAGGACAUGACACAGCUGACCGAAACUUUACAUGUUACGAAUCUUGAGAAUGUUGUGAAGGAUGAUGCCUUAAAAGCCAAGAUGAACACAAAAGCGCACAUACAACGGUUGAUUCUGGAAUGGUCUUCAAGCGAAGCUGGUAAUGCGGAAUUCAGCAAUGCCAAGUAUUCACAAGAAAGCAUUAUUGUUGAAUCAUUUGAGCCCCAUCCCAACCUUGAGAGUUUGAAAUUGAAGCACUACAGUGGCAUCCAAACACCAUCUUGGUUGCAGGCUGGAAAUCUUUGCUGUUUGUGUGAGCCCAGUCUCUCCAACUGUCAUUUCCUAACUGAAAUCACCAGCCUCCCUUCUUCCCUCAGGAGGUUGCACAUCAUACGAUGCAGAAACCUGAGGAGUCUCGAUGAGUGUCUACAGGCACAGAGCUUGCAGGGAAUCGCGGAAAUAACUGUUAUGAACUGCUCAAAACUAGCAUUGCUCCCUGUGGAAAGAUUUCGGGGCUUUGCUUCUCUUCGUGUAUUGGAAAUUCAAAAUUGUCCAGAGCUUCCACCCACAAGGAAACUGACCCUGCCGCCAUCGAUGGAGGAGUUGCUUAUGAGGUCAUGCGGCCAUGUUGAUGCGUCACUUCCAUCCUGCUUGCACAACCUGUCUUCACUCGUAACCUUGGUUAUAUACAACUGUCCUAACUUACUGUCCCUUCCAGCAGAAAUAGUUUCGCAGCUGCGAUCACUCCGAGGGAUGUAUGUCGAUAACUGCAGCAGCCUGCAAUCCUUGGGUGGAUUGCACCACCUUUCGUCACUCAUCAACCUGCACAUUGUGAACUGCCCUAGGUUGACAGACCUUGAUCCCUCGAUGUUUCUCGACGUCGGCGAAGGCCGGGGGAUGCAGAAGCUCGAGUGCCUGACCAUCAGUAGCACCUCUCUCCUUAGCCUGAUGAUGAGAAGCACAUUACCUGCUCUUAAGAUCGUUGUCCUGUACCAGUCCACCGACUCCGCGGUUGUUCAUGGCCCUCGCAACAAGAAGUUGUGUUGGUGUUUCCCGUCGGUGCAAGAGCUGUUGUUUCAGGACUGUGGGAAUCUUGUUGCACUCCCUGAAGAGCUGUGCACUUUGUCGACUCUCCAGUUCCUGCGGAUAUUCAACUGUCCGAAGAUCCAGUCAUUGCCACAUACGGGCUUGCCGGUCUCCCUGAGGACAUUGUCCUUCGAGAAGUGCCACCCGUUGCUGGAGGAGCAGUUAAAGAAGCUCAAGUUCUCCUACAAUACGGCGUAG
RNAcentral lists this ribosomal RNA (3270 nucleotides) under Triticum aestivum (bread wheat). RNAcentral's name for it is "partial small subunit ribosomal RNA". Lineage: Eukaryota; Viridiplantae; Streptophyta; Magnoliopsida; Poales; Poaceae. The record is from RNAcentral.